AUAGGUGUAGCUCAGUGGUUGAGUGCCUGCUUCGCAUGCAUGAGGUCCUGGGUUCAAUCCCCAGUACCUCUA
This 72-nucleotide transfer RNA is filed under the name Dasypus novemcinctus (nine-banded armadillo). Its description in RNAcentral is "tRNA-Ala (CGC) (tRNA-Ala-CGC-6-1)". It matches the Rfam family "tRNA". Rfam says of the family: Transfer RNA (tRNA) molecules are approximately 80 nucleotides in length. Lineage: Eukaryota; Metazoa; Chordata; Mammalia; Cingulata; Dasypodidae. The record is from RNAcentral.